This 24-nucleotide non-coding RNA is filed under the name Arabidopsis thaliana (thale cress). Lineage: Eukaryota; Viridiplantae; Streptophyta; Magnoliopsida; Brassicales; Brassicaceae. The record is from RNAcentral.
UUUGUGUCGAAAAAUCCUUUUUCA